UGGCGGCCGCCGUUCUCCUCGCCUCCUCGGCCUGGCUGCCACCUUCUCACCCUCGGGGGAGUCCCCGCGCGCUGUGCUCACUCGAGGAAGAGAAGCUCAGGCACGGGCCCGGACCCGUACCAGACUCCUGAUUGCAGCCUGAGCUUGCCAGAGGAGGGAGAUGUUAAUCAGCCUGGGUUCCACCAGAGUGAAGCAGAGAAGCCCAGACCAUGUGGCCUGUCUUACGAAUCUCUAACCCUUGACAUCUUGAGCCUAUGCUGUCUCCGGUUAAACUGAGGCAUCUAGAGAGGCUGUUCCAGCACCUUUUAUUGAAAAGACAUACUUUUGGGGAGGACUCAAGAUGGCGCUGUGAGAACAACCCAGGAUUGGAGCUCUCAUUGAAUCCGCAAAGAGGUGAGUCCGAGCUGCAUUUUUAGACUGAUCUUUGUUGCCCACAGAACGGGGAAACUCCCAAGUAUAGAAAAGACACGGGACGCCAGGCAGUAAGUCUGCCUGGCGAAGCCGGCAGCCGGGGCGGCGGCGGCCAGCCCUACCCAGCAAUCCCCACAGGGUGCGCUUGUCCGGGUGCCCUGUUGAACCAGCAACCUGAGACUUGAGAGGGCUGGACUUGAGACUGAACGAGACUUGGACAGUAGGCCAGCCCAGGGGAUUGCAGGGACAGAGCGUUCGGGAUACCCAGUGGGACGAACAAAACCGCGAUUUCAAACUAUCCCGAGCAGACGGUCCAAGACGCUCUGUGGGGGAGGGGAAUCCACCACUACCGAGGCAACCUGCCCCAACUGAGAUACACGCCCACUGCUGACGCAGCCAGCCGUUGCCGAGGCAACCCGUCCCUACUGAGAUACACACCCACGCGGACGCAGCCUCCCGUUGCCGAGGCAACCCGUCCCUACUGAGAUACAUGCCCACUGCUGACGCAGCCUGCCGUUGCCGAGGCAACACGCUACAACGAAGAGACUCUGCCGCAGGGCGUGGCAGAGACCACAGCAGAGCCUGCAGGAACAGGGCGAAUCACACAACAUCAGGGCGGAGUCUCGGCAGGCAAACAGUGGCUAGUCUGCCUCCUAGCUGGGCAGGACACCUCAAAGAACAUCGAAAAAUAAAGCCCGAAUCCCCCAACACACAGCAUUUGAGAAAAAAAAGGGUUUUUUUAAUGAGCUCUGUUGCAGCAGAAUCAAACAUAGCAGCCUAACAGCCCUGAAUGAACAACAGACCUCACAGCUCAGAAAUUGAGCUCCUAAAAAGAACAGACUGUCUCCUCAAGCAGCUCCCUGACCCCUCUAUAUCCAAAAGACUGACAUUUGGCAGGCAUCAUCCUGGGACAAAGAUAGCAGAAAAAGAAACGGGUAGCAUUCCUCGCUGUGCCACAGCUGCUAGAGGUGCACCCCAGACAAGCAGGGCCUAGAGUGGACCUCAGCAGUCGUACAGCGAAGGGGCUAGGCUGGUAGAAGGAAAACAAAGUAACAGAAAUACUUCAUCAUCAACAAUCUGGGUGUCCACUCAGAGACCCAAUCGAAAAGUCAGCAACUACACAGACGACAAGCGGAUAAACCCACAAAGAUGGGAAGAAACCAGCGAAAAAAGGAGGAAAACACCGGAAACCAGAAUACCUCGCCUCCUAGAAAGGACCAAAACUCCUCACCAGCAAGGGAACAAAGCUGGACCGAGAAUGAGUGUGAUGAAAUGACGGAAUUAGACUUCAGAAGGUGGAAAAUGAGAAACUUUUGUGAGCUAAAAGAACAUGUAUUGAAUCAAUGCAAAGAAACUAAGGAACUUAAAAAAAGAUAUGAGGAAAUGAUAACAAGAAUGGAUAACGUAGAGAGGAAUAUGAAUGAAUUUAAGGAGCUGAAAAACACAAUACGAGAACUUCGCGAAGCAUGCACAAGUUUCAAUAGCCAAAUUGACCAAGCAGAAGAAAGAAUAUCUGAAGUUGAAGACCAAUUCAAUGAAAUUAAACGAGAAACCAAGAUUAGAGAAAAAAGUGCAAAAAGGAAUGAACAAAGUCUCCAAGAAAUGUGGGACUAUGUGAAAAGACCUAACCUGCGUUUGAUAGGUGUACCAGAAGGGGACGAAGAGAAUGAAUCCAAGCUGGAAAAUACUCUUCAGGACAUCAUCCAGGAAAACUUCCCCCACCUAGCAAGACAGGCCAACACUCAAAUGUAGGAAAUACAGAGAACACCACAAAGAUAUUCUGCAAGAAGAGCAACCCCAAGGCACAUAAUCGUCAGAUUCAACAAGGUUGAAAUAAAGGAGAAAAUACUAAGGGCAGCCAGAGAGAAAGGUCGAGUUACCCACAAAGGGAAGCCCAUCAGACUCACAGCAGAUCUCUCAGCAGAAACACUACAAGCCAGAAGAGAGUGGGGGCCAAUAUUCAACAUUCUUAAAGAAAAGAACUUUCAACCCAGAAUUUCAUAUCCAGCCAAACUGAGCUUCAGAAGUGAAGGAAAAAUAAAAUCCUUUGCGAACAAGCAAGUACUCAGAGAUUUUGUCACCACCAGGCCUGCUUUACAAGAGCUCCUAAAAGAGGCACUAAACAUAGAAAGGAACAACCACUACCAGCCAUUCCAAAAUGACACUAAAUGCUAAAGAGCAUCAACAUAAUGAAGAAUCUACAACAACUAACAGGCAAAACAGCCACUUAGCAUCAAAAUGGCAGUAUCAAAUUCACACAUAACAAUAUUAACCCUAAAUGUAAAUGGACUAAAUGCACCAAUCAAAAGACACAGACUGGCAAAUUGGAUAAAAAUCCAAAACCCAUCAGUGUGCUGUAUCCAGGAAACCCAUCUCACAUGCAAGGAUACACAAAGGCUCAAAAUAAAGGGAUGGAGGAAGAUUUACCAAGCAAACGGAGAGCAAAAAAAAGCAGGAGUUGCAAUUCUCAUCUCUGAUAAAAUAGACUUUAAAGCAACAAAGAUCAAAAGAGACAAAGAAGGCCAUUACAUAAUGGUAAAAGGAUCAAUAAAACAAGAAGAGCUAACGAUCCUGAACAUAUAUGGACCCAAUGCAGGAGCACCCAGAUACAUAAGGCAAGUUCUUAAUGACUUACAAAGAGACUUAGACUCCCACACAAUAAUAGUGGGAGACUUUAACACUCCACUGUCAAUAUUAGACAGAUCAACCAGACAGAAA
Molecule: non-coding RNA, 3129 nt
Organism: Callithrix jacchus (white-tufted-ear marmoset)
Lineage: Eukaryota; Metazoa; Chordata; Mammalia; Primates; Cebidae
Source: RefSeq, a predicted model, not a curated record